UUUACCAAUUACAUUAGGAACUGUGAAUUUUUUUUUUUACUACACAUUCAUGCAUUUACAACUCGCGUGACGCAUUGACAUUCAUGAGAAAGCCCUGCUUGCCGCCGCCUUGGCUUGAAAAGUCCCCACAUCUUGCAUUGGGGUUCUGCAUUUGUCAACACGCCAAUUCCAAAUCUAAGAAUAAUUGACAUUUCAAAAAAUUCCCAUGUACCAAUGAACACUUUCUAUCAAGAAUUAUUUUCUAAUUACGCACUCAACACAGUAAGACUUUCUAGAUAAUCAAGUCCAUCCUAUACUAUCCCUGCACUAAACCAGAAAUCCUGCUCUUGCGGCUGAACUACAACCUGAAAUAAGACGAAAAACCCACCUGACCCCAGAGACUAACAAAAGAAGUAAACAGAUAACUGAAUUGGAGUCCCCAAAAGAACAUUUCCUUAACUGAAACCCCAAAAAUACAGAUAAUUAGACAGCUGAGCAUCGGAAUAUAUCAUAACAAACUAAGUUCAUCAUCUGCAAUGUUGAGAUAUAAAUCUUAAAUUAUAUUUUGCUAAUAUAUCUAUGGAAUCAAACAAAAGAUUUAUAUUGGAAAUUCCAACUCAAAGUCUGCAGCCGAAGAAGAUAAUCAAAAGACUUUGAAUUGUUGCAGAGUUCAUGAGUAUUUGAUAACUUAUUUUAAGUUCAUUCUUUAAUUAUCUUCAAGUGACUUUAAGUUUGUUUAGAA
RNAcentral lists this unclassified non-coding RNA (721 nucleotides) under Hevea brasiliensis (rubber tree). Lineage: Eukaryota; Viridiplantae; Streptophyta; Magnoliopsida; Malpighiales; Euphorbiaceae. The record is from RNAcentral.